Molecule: ribosomal RNA, 399 nt
Filed under: uncultured bacterium
Lineage: Bacteria
Description: bacterial SSU rRNA
Rfam family: Bacterial small subunit ribosomal RNA
Source: RNAcentral
AGUAACACAUAAGCAAUCUGCCCUUCACAGGGGGAUAACAGCGGGAAACUGCUGCUAAUACCGCAUAAGACCACGGUACCGCAUGGUACAGGGGUAAAAACGAAUCAGUGGUGAAGGAUGAGCUUAUGUCCCAUUAGCUAGUUGGUGAGAUAACAGCCCACCAAGGCGACGAUGGGUAGCCGACCUGAGAGGGUGAUCGGCCACACUGGAACUGAGACACGGUCCAGACUCCUACGGGAGGCAGCAGUGGGGAAUAUUGGGCAAUGGAGGAAAAACCUCUUACCCAGCAAUGCCGCGUGAGUGAAGAAGGUCUUCGGAUUGUAAAGCUCUUUGAUUGGGGACGAAGAAAGUGACGGUACCCAAAGAACAAGCCCCGGCUAACUACGUGCCAGCAGCCGC